CAGUAGCCACGGGAAUACAGAGGGUGCAAGCGUUAAUCGGAAUUACUGGGCGUAAAGCGCGCGUAGGUGGUUUGUUAAGUCGGAUGUGAAAUCCCCGGGCUCAACCUGGGAACUGCAUCCGAAACUGGCAAGCUAGAGUAUGGUAGAGGGUAGUGGAAUUUCCUGUGUAGCGGUGAAAUGCGUAGAUAUAGGAAGGAACACCAGUGGCGAAGGCGACUACCUGGACUGAUACUGACACUGAGGUGCGAAAGCGUGGGGAGCAAACAGGAUUAGAUACCCGGGUAGUCCCUGUCUCUUAUAC
Molecule: ribosomal RNA, 301 nt
Filed under: uncultured bacterium
Lineage: Bacteria
Description: partial 16S ribosomal RNA
Rfam family: Bacterial small subunit ribosomal RNA
Source: RNAcentral